GACGAGCGCUGGCGGCGUGCUUAACACAUGCAAGUCGAACGGAAAGGCCCUGCUUUUGUGGGGUGCUCGAGUGGCGAACGGGUGAGUAACACGUGAGUAACCUGCCCUUGACUUUGGGAUAACUUCAGGAAACUGGGGCUAAUACCGGAUAGGAGCUCCUGCUGCAUGGUGGGGGUUGGAAAGUUUCGGCGGUUGGGGAUGGACUCGCGGCUUAUCAGCUUGUUGGUGGGGUAGUGGCUUACCAAGGCUUUGACGGGUAGCCGGCCUGAGAGGGUGACCGGGCCACAUUGGGACUGGGAUACGGCCCAGCCCCCUCCGGGGGGCAGCAGGGGGGAAUAUUGCACAAGGGGCGGAAGCCUGAUGCGGCACCCCCGGGGGCGGGAUGCCGGCCUUCGGGUUGUAACCCGCUUUCGCCUGGGACGAAGCGGGGGUGACGGUAAUUGGUAAAGAAGCACCGGCUAACUACGU
Molecule: ribosomal RNA, 468 nt
Filed under: uncultured bacterium
Lineage: Bacteria
Description: partial 16S ribosomal RNA
Rfam family: Bacterial small subunit ribosomal RNA
Source: RNAcentral